CUCUUUUAUAAUACAUUAAGGUCUUUCAGUCAGAAAUUUUUUGCAUUUUCUUUGAAUAUUUUGAUAUUUUUAGUCCCUUUUCUAUACUGGCUUUAGAUUCAUCAUGACAUCUAAAGUAGUCCUAGAUUCAUGGUGAGUUGAUCAGUAUGUUCAUCUUAAUAUCAUCUGGUUAGCCAACAUAGCAGUAAGGGACUUUUAUUUCUACAGUAAUAAAGCUCUUUAUGUAAAUUAUUCUAAGGCAAAAAGAAG
This 249-nucleotide long non-coding RNA is filed under the name Bos taurus (domestic cattle). Its description in RNAcentral is "long non-coding RNA NONBTAT024173". Lineage: Eukaryota; Metazoa; Chordata; Mammalia; Artiodactyla; Bovidae. The record is from RNAcentral.